RNAcentral lists this ribosomal RNA (497 nucleotides) under uncultured bacterium. RNAcentral's name for it is "partial 16S ribosomal RNA". It matches the Rfam family "Bacterial small subunit ribosomal RNA", at positions 28 to 507 of the family's 1533-position model. The record is from RNAcentral.
GAUGAACGCUGGCGGCGUGCCUAAUACAUGCAAGUCGAGCGAACAGACGAGGAGCUUGCUCCUCUGACGUUAGCGGCGGACGGGUGAGUAACACGUGGAUAACCUACCUAUAAGACUGGGAUAACUUCGGGAAACCGGAGCUAAUACCGGAUAACAUGUUGAACCGCAUGGUUUAACAGUGAAAGACGGUCUUGCUGUCACUUAUAGACGGAUCCGCGCCGCAUUAGCUAGUUGGUAAGGUAACGGCUUACCAAGGCAACGAUGCGUAGCCGACCUGAGAGGGUGAUCGGCCACACUGGAACUGAGACACGGUCCAGACUCCUACGGGAGGCAGCAGUAGGGAAUCUUCCGCAAAGGGCGAAAGCCUGACGGAGCAACGCCGCGUGAGUGAAGAAGGUCUUCGGAUCGUAAAACUCUGUUAUUAGGGAAGAACAAAUGUGUAAGUAACUAUGCACGUCUUGACGGUACCUAAUCAGAAAGCCACGGCUAACUACGUG